Long non-coding RNA from Carcharodon carcharias (great white shark), 552 nucleotides. RefSeq lists it as uncharacterized. The transcript is spliced from 3 exons. The record is from RefSeq and is a predicted model, not a curated record. Lineage: Eukaryota; Metazoa; Chordata; Chondrichthyes; Lamniformes; Lamnidae.
ACUUCCUUUGCCCCAUUAUCUUCAAAACGCUUACUGACGCUUAGUUUGGAUUCCGCCAGCGCCACUCAGCUCCUGACCUCGUUACAGCCUUUGUCCAAACAUGGACAAAAGAGGAGGCGAGCAACCUUAUCAGCUUUUCCUGCCACCUUCAGAUUUCUGCAUAUGUUCAAAGAUUCGUGUAUGAGAACCCUCAGCUCCCUCUGUUACUGCUAUUCCUUUAAAGUGUCUGCACUACAAUGGGCGCAUCUUGGAUGACUUCUGGAGACCACAAAAUGAGACCGAGGUUGCUGCAAUUGAGGGAGUGGUGCGAUGGGGACACAGGCAGAGGAUUCCAGGGUCCCUCUCUGAAAACAUUCUACAGUGUGACAUUUGUCCCCCUUUAUAAAGCAAUUGAGAAAAUACACACAAUAAAAGCAUGUGUUCAUUGGCACAGGUUAUAUAUUAGGCCUAAGCCCUUGGUGGGCCAUUUUUGUGCUGCUGGGCAUGUGCCUGGUCCCAGGUCUUUUUAAUUCUUUCAUGGGAUGUGGGCAUCAGUGGCAAGGCUGGCAUUUG